UGCAGUCGAGCGAACUGAUUAGAAGCUUGCUUCUAUGACGUUAGCGGCGGACGGGUGAGUAACACGUGGGCAACCUGCCUGUAAGACUGGGAUAACUUCGGGAAACCGAAGCUAAUACCGGAUAGGAUCUUCUCCUUCAUGGGAGAUGAUUGAAAGAUGGUUUCGGCUAUCACUUACAGAUGGGCCCGCGGUGCAUUAGCUAGUUGGUGAGGUAACGGCUCACCAAGGCAACGAUGCAUAGCCGACCUGAGAGGGUGAUCGGCCACACUGGGACUGAGACACGGCCCAGACUCCUACGGGAGGCAGCAGUAGGGAAUCUUCCGCAAUGGACGAAAGUCUGACGGAGCAACGCCGCGUGAGUGAUGAAGGCUUUCGGGUCGUAAAACUCUGUUGUUAGGGAAGAACAAGUACGAGAGUAACUGCUCGUACCUUGACGGUACCUAACCAGAAAGCCACGGCUAACUACGUGCCAGCAGCCGCGGUAAUACGUAGGUGGCAAGCGUUAUCCGGAAUUAUUGGGCGUAAAGCGCGCGCAGGCGGUUUCUUAAGUCUGAUGUGAAAGCCCACGGCUCAACCGUGGAGGGUCAUUGGAAACUGGGGAACUUGAGUGCAGAAGAGAAAAGCGGAAUUCCACGUGUAGCGGUGAAAUGCGUAGAGAUGUGGAGGAACACCAGUGGCGAAGGCGGCUUUUUGGUCUGUAACUGACGC
RNAcentral lists this ribosomal RNA (708 nucleotides) under Bacillus sp. FJAT-4565. Its description in RNAcentral is "bacterial SSU rRNA". It matches the Rfam family "Bacterial small subunit ribosomal RNA", at positions 56 to 746 of the family's 1533-position model. The record is from RNAcentral. Lineage: Bacteria; Bacillati; Bacillota; Bacilli; Caryophanales; Bacillaceae.